RNAcentral lists this ribosomal RNA (374 nucleotides) under uncultured organism. RNAcentral's name for it is "partial 16S ribosomal RNA". It matches the Rfam family "Bacterial small subunit ribosomal RNA", at positions 527 to 896 of the family's 1533-position model. The record is from RNAcentral.
GUAGGUGGCAAGCGUUGUCCGGAAUUAUUGGGCGUAAAGCGCGCGCAGGCGGUUCUUUAAGUCUGAUGUGAAAGCCCACGGCUCAACCGUGGAGGGUCAUUGGAAACUGGAGAACUUGAGUACAGAAGAGGAAAGCGGAAUUCCACGUGUAGCGGUGAAAUGCGUAGAGAUGUGGAGGAACACCAGUGGCGAAGGCGGCUUUCUGGUCUGUAACUGACGCUGAGGCGCGAAAGCGUGGGGGGGGCAAACAGGAUUAGAUACCCUGGUAGUCCACGCCGUAAACGAUGAGUGCUAAGUGUUAGGGGGUUUCCGCCCCCCUUAGUGCUGCAGCUAACGCAUUAAGCACUCCGCCUGGGAGUACGGCCGCAAGGCUG